CUCUUGUUUUACCUCAUUCUGAGAUGAUAUACAGCCUGUCUUCUGAAUAUUUUAUCAUAGAACCAACUUUGAGAUUCAUCCUCAGAGAAUGAGAGUGCGAGUACAGAGAGCCAACAAUCCAGAGAACAAGGAGGAGGAGGAAGAGGGAAGCACAUCUGGAGCAGAAGCACUGCACACCCACACCUCCUCUCUUCUGCAGGUGGAGGUGUGAGAAGAUGUUGUGAUCGCAGUGGAGACUCCAGCUGCUCUCUCACGAGGUGUCAUGGCUGACUCGCUCUUCCUCUGCACAGAAAAAAAAACCUUGCCACUUUCUUUGAGUAAGCAUAAUUAAACACAGAGGAAAAAUGACUGGAAGACAGACGGCUGAAUAGCCAGAAGAGGUAGUGGAGGACUUUGUUAUGGAGAUAAUUAAGUUUUGUUAGUUUCUUUGUUUCUUUGUGUGUUUUGACCAAUGUUAUGGUCAUUAGUUUGGUAUUUUUGGGAAGCUCUAAUAUAGGCACUUGAUAAUACUGAUCACUGAUUAUCAAGAAUCACUCUUACAAUUUGCUUUCUUAACAUUCUUUGACAAAUGUGAGUGCAGUUGUCACAGCUGUUUUAUGGGACAUCACAAUUGUCUACAAUACAUUUGCAAAAUGCAAUAAUUAACCCAAAACAUUUCAUUCAUAUAUCAAAACAUAGUUAUUGAAC
RNAcentral lists this long non-coding RNA (687 nucleotides) under Carassius auratus (goldfish). RNAcentral describes it as "lncRNA (ENSCARG00000035304.1)". Lineage: Eukaryota; Metazoa; Chordata; Actinopteri; Cypriniformes; Cyprinidae. The record is from RNAcentral.